Aedes albopictus (Asian tiger mosquito) is the source of this 2110-nucleotide long non-coding RNA. RefSeq lists it as uncharacterized. Lineage: Eukaryota; Metazoa; Arthropoda; Insecta; Diptera; Culicidae. The record is from RefSeq and is a predicted model, not a curated record. The transcript has 2 exons.
CGCCGGUUACGACGAAUGAGAGAGGUGGGAAAGAGCGAGUUGAGGCGCGAUCGCGUGAAGCGUGAUCUCGUCGCGCGAGCGAAGCGAACGCCACGCGAUCGCCUUUCAGUACGUUUUGGGACGUGAAUCGUGACGUGUGUGUUGUUCUGGAGUUGCUUUUACCUGGAAGGGUGCUUUUACGAUCGCGUUCUAGGCGUUUUCGGUGUACCCAGUUUGUGAUUGUUUUGUGGCUUGCGGUUCUUGGAAGAACGAAUUGGCUUCGAAAGGUCAUAAACGGAAGAAGACGUUCAAGUCGAAAGUGUUUGUUGUUAGCCUGUGGGAACUUGAGGUGCGUUUAAUGUGGUGAAACUUUGAAUCCAGAUCGGGAUUUGAAUUGCUAAGAGGAACGCGGAAAGAAGAGAAGUUGUGUGAAUUAGAAAAGUAGACAAGUUGGAGAUUUGUUGAAGUCGUGGUCGUUGACAAGAGUGAUGGAUAUUGCUGCGAUUACAAGCGAUAGCCGGGAAUUGGGCAGUGUCGGACUAUCAGAUAAGUGAAAUUUUAAGACCCCUUAUUACAGGCUGGUUGAACAGCCAACAGAGUGAUAAUCACGCUAUCGUCGGAGGUGAUCGUGUGGCAGCUUAGAAAAUAAUUAAACCAAGAGGUGAAAUUUAGAGUCGUGGUCUUGGUCGUUGUUGGUUGGAGCAGCCUUUGGCGGCAGACGAAGAGCUUACAUUGUUUCAUGUGAUACGAAAUGUACCUGGGGUGGUGUAGUUGGGAAUGCGUAAGGGUACACGAUCGCCCGCCAGUUGUUUAAUAAUUUAUGAAUGAGUGAAAUUAAUCAAGUAAAACAACUACCAGUUUCGGAAGAGCCUCGGUGUUUCGGUUCCGCCCCCUUAGUGGGUCGCUCCGCUGCUAGGAAGCGCAGCUAUUCGAUGAAAAGUUGGUGCGAAACCGCGUUUUUCCUAAACAUGAUUUAGCGGCGUGUAUUGCAACUGAAGGAAAAGUACUUCUACAAGAAGCAAUAGGCACACCUCGAAACAACGCAAAAUCUUUCAUGUACAACGGCGCAGCGAAGAAAAAGUGGUCCAAUGCAAAACAGAAGUGUUCGGCGUAGUAAAGUUAAUGGAAAUUGAUUCGAAACCCAGUCAACCGAGAAGAGCCUAAAGAAUUCAAAACCGCAGCAGUGAAGAAACAUACGAAGCACCACAUACCAACACAGUGAAACCCCCCUGCGGCCACAAUUGCUAUUAGUUCAUGCGUCUAAUUAAACGGUUAAAUACUCAUUCGUACAAAACGCGCCAGCUGAAACGAAAGCGCAUCGGCUGCUGCAGGUUGCAUUUUUCAAGUGCAUUCCGUUUUGGUGUUCGACGGCUAAGUUGGAAAGCCGGUCCCCGAAGCCUUUUUGCCUCGAGUGUUUUGCCUGCAGCUGCUGCUGUAGUAUGGGUAUGAGUGAAUGUGAAUGAAGGUGGUGCAAACUGGCCACUACUGGUACUUAGAAAUUGCAUUGCAGCAGCGUGCAAGUUGCACAUCGCCGCCUAACCGAUCGAACCGAAUGGUGGUGGUGUGGUGAAUGGUUGCAGCAGCACUAGCAGUGAGCGGAGAUAUCGAAGGUGGAUCGCCCGUCCGCCGUACCAACUGCUGCACGGUUUAAGGAGAAGGAUUUGUCCAUAAACGAACCAUAAACGGUUGGAAGACACGCGAUUUAGAGGUAUGAAUAUUGAUUGGAAACAAAUAGUUAAUAACCAUUGGUUAUCUCAUGACAGGGUUCAUUGGUGAGUACUCCGGAAGCCAUUGCCCAGCCAAUUAUCAUUAAUAUUCAAGCAAACAAUAAAUUUCACGUACGUUUCGCGGAAUGUUGCUGGCAGAGAAGCGAUCAUUUUUAUUACUCAAACAACAGACCAAAGUAAACAUAAGUACACUCAAACCUCCAUUUAAGUCUCGAAUCCAUUAAAGUAAAUUCUAUUAAAGUCCCUCCAUUUAAGUAACGCAACAUAAAUGGAGUUUGACUGUAUUCCCAGCAAAACAAAUGUAAAGAUGCUACGGUUUCGAAAACAUCUGUUAUUCGAAAAGGUCAUUAGGCUGAAUAGGCCGAAUAGGGACCUUUUCGGCCCAGUCAUGAGGCUGAAUACGU